CAAGAACAGGUGUGCUAGCGGGCAUUUUGAACUGAUAUUUCGUUUCAGCUAGCAAGAAAACCAAGUUGGAAUAACUGCUCUCUGCCACCUCAUGAAGCCGUUACCUCAACAUGGAGUUGAUUCUUGGACUAAAUUGAGCAGAAAACCUGAAGAAGUGCUGCUGUUUGGUCUGGUUUGUUUUUGCUGCUUGUUGGAUGGAGGUCCAGUUAGCUGAAGAUACAUGAGAUAUCACUAAACACAGAGGCACCACAGCGGGGCAGCAGGAGGACACAGGAUCCAGGGGAGGAGGGUCUUUGAGUUCAGAUGUUAUCCAGCCUGGUCUUUCUGGACUUCUACAGAUUCUUGAUUGGAUUCAGGUGCCACUUACUUUGACAAGGCUCCCCAGCUAAAAAGCAUUAUUACCACCACUAUAUUUGACUGUAGGAUGGUGUUCUUGAGGUGGCCUAUGUCUCCUGUUUUUCUCCAAAUUAAAGCCAC
Long non-coding RNA from Amphiprion ocellaris (clown anemonefish), 477 nucleotides. NCBI's taxonomy places the organism in Eukaryota, Metazoa, Chordata, Actinopteri, Pomacentridae. The record is from Ensembl.